AGCGAACGCUGGCGGCAGGCCUAACACAUGCAAGUCGAACGAACUCUUCGGAGUUAGUGGCGGACGGGUGAGUAACACGUGGGAACGUGCCUUUUGGUUCGGAAUAACUCAGGGAAACUUGCGCUAAUACCGAAUGUGCCCUUCGGGGGAAAGAUUUAUCGCCAUUAGAGCGGCCCGCGUCUGAUUAGCUAGUUGGUGAGGUAACGGCUCACCAAGGCGACGAUCAGUAGCUGGUCUGAGAGGAUGACCAGCCACACUGGGACUGAGACACGGCCCAGACUCCUACGGGAGGCAGCAGUGGGGAAUCUUGCGCAAUGGGCGAAAGCCUGACGCAGCCAUGCCGCGUGAAUGAUGAAGGUCUUAGGAUUGUAAAAUUCUUUCACCGGGGACGAUAAUGACGGUACCCGGAGAAGAAGCCCCGGCUAACUUCGUG
Molecule: ribosomal RNA, 433 nt
Filed under: uncultured bacterium
Lineage: Bacteria
Description: partial 16S ribosomal RNA
Rfam family: Bacterial small subunit ribosomal RNA
Source: RNAcentral